This 465-nucleotide ribosomal RNA is filed under the name Vreelandella stevensii. Its description in RNAcentral is "partial 16S ribosomal RNA". It matches the Rfam family "Bacterial small subunit ribosomal RNA", at positions 338 to 795 of the family's 1533-position model. Lineage: Bacteria; Pseudomonadati; Pseudomonadota; Gammaproteobacteria; Oceanospirillales; Halomonadaceae. The record is from RNAcentral.
CCUACGGGUGGCUGCAGUGGGGAAUAUUGGACAAUGGGCGAAAGCCUGAUCCAGCCAUGCCGCGUGUGUGAAGAAGGCCUUCGGGUUGUAAAGCACUUUCAGUGGGGAAGAAAGCCUUGGGGCUAAUACCCUCGAGGAAGGACAUCACCCACAGAAGAAGCACCGGCUAACUCCGUGCCAGCAGCCGCGGUAAUACGGAGGGUGCGAGCGUUAAUCGGAAUUACUGGGCGUAAAGCGCGCGUAGGCGGUCUGAUAAGCCGGUUGUGAAAGCCCCGGGCUCAACCUGGGAACGGCAUCCGGAACUGUCAGGCUAGAGUGCAGGAGAGGAAGGUAGAAGUCCCGGUGUAGCGGUGAAAUGCGUAGAGAUCGGGAGGAAUACCAGAGGCGAAGGCGGCCUUCUGGACUGACACUGACGCUGAGGUGCGAAAGCGUGGGUAGCAAACAGGAUUAGAUACCCCAGUAGUC